UUCCGGUUGAUCCUGCCGGAGGCCAUUGCUAUUGGAGUCCGAUUUAGCCAUGCUAGUCGCACGGGUUCAGACCCGUGGCGAAUAGCUCCGUAACACGUGGCCAAACUACCCUAUGGAUCGGGAUAACCUCGGGAAACUGAGGCUAAUACCGAAUACCGCUCUCACGUUGGAAUUACAGAGAGCACGAAACGCUCCGGCGCCAUAGGAUGUGGCUGCGGCCGAUUAGGUAGACGGUGGGGUAACGGCCCACCGUGCCGAUAAUCGGUACGGGUUGUGAGAGCAAGAACCCGGAGACGGUAUCUGAGACAAGAUACCGGGCCCUACGGGGCGCAGCAGGCGCGAAACCUUUACACUGCACGAACGUGCGAUAAGGGGACUCCAAGUGCGAGGGCAUACAGUCCUCGCUUUUCCCUACCGUAAGGUGGUAGGUGAAUAAGAGCUGGGCAAGACCGGUGCCAGCCGCCGCGGUAAUACCGGCAGCUCGAGUGAUGGCCAAUAUUAUUGGGCCUAAAGCGUCCGUAGCUGGCCGAACAGGUCCGUCGGGAAAUCCGCUCGCUCAACGAGCGGACGUCCGGCGGAAACCAGUCGGCUUGGGACCGGAAGACCCGAGGGGUACGUCCGGGGUAGGAGUGAAAUCCUGUAAUCCUGGACGGACCACCGGUGGCGAAAGCGCCUCGGGAGGACGGAUCCGACAGUGAGGGACGAAAGCUUGGGUCACGAACCGGAUUAGAUACCCGGGUAGUCCAAGCUGUAAACGAUGCUCGCUAGGUGUGGCACUGGCUACGAGCCAGUGCUGUGCCGUAGGGAAGCCGAGAAGCGAGCCGCCUGGGAAGUACGUCCGCAAGGAUGAAACUUAAAGGAAUUGGCGGGGGAGCACUACAACCGGAGGAGCCUGCGGUUUAAUUGGAUUCAACGCCGGA
Molecule: ribosomal RNA, 920 nt
Filed under: uncultured archaeon
Lineage: Archaea
Description: bacterial SSU rRNA
Rfam family: Archaeal small subunit ribosomal RNA
Source: RNAcentral